RNAcentral lists this ribosomal RNA (617 nucleotides) under Streptomyces sp. RNAcentral describes it as "bacterial SSU rRNA". It matches the Rfam family "Bacterial small subunit ribosomal RNA", at positions 256 to 887 of the family's 1533-position model. Lineage: Bacteria; Bacillati; Actinomycetota; Actinomycetes; Kitasatosporales; Streptomycetaceae. The record is from RNAcentral.
GGCAAUGGUCAAGCGCGAGGACGGGUAGCCGGCCUGAGAGGGCGACCGGCCACACUGGGACUGAGACACGGCCCAGACUCCUACGGGAGGCAGCAGUGGGGAAUAUUGCACAAUGGGCGCAAGCCUGAUGCAGCGACGCCGCGUGAGGGAUGACGGCCUUCGGGUUGUAAACCUCUUUCAGCAGGGAAGAAGCGCAAGUGACGGUACCUGCAGAAGAAGCGCCGGCUAACUACGUGCCAGCAGCCGCGGUAAUACGUAGGGCGCAAGCGUUGUCCGGAAUUAUUGGGCGUAAAGAGCUCGUAGGCGGCUUGUCACGUCGGGUGUGAAAGCCCGGGGCUUAACCCCGGGUCUGCAUUCGAUACGGGCUGGCUGGAGUGUGGUAGGGGAGAUCGGAAUUCCUGGUGUAGCGGUGAAAUGCGCAGAUAUCAGGAGGAACACCGGUGGCGAAGGCGGAUCUCUGGGCCAUUACUGACGCUGAGGAGCGAAAGCGUGGGGAGCGAACAGGAUUAGAUACCCUGGUAGUCCACGCCGUAACGGUGGGAACUAGGUGUUGGCGACAUUCCACGUCGUCGGUGCCGCAGCUAACGCAUUAAGUUCCCCGCCAGGGAAGGAAGGGA